This 253-nucleotide ribosomal RNA is filed under the name uncultured bacterium. RNAcentral's name for it is "partial 16S ribosomal RNA". It matches the Rfam family "Bacterial small subunit ribosomal RNA", at positions 524 to 776 of the family's 1533-position model. The record is from RNAcentral.
GACGAACCGUGCGAACGUUGUUCGGAAUCACUGGGCUUAAAGGGCGCGUAGGCGGGCGCGCAAGCCCGCGGUGAAAGCCCCCGGCUCAACCGGGGAACGGCCGCGGGGACUGCACGCCUCGAGGGGGGUAGGGGCGCGCGGAACGCCGGGUGGAGCGGUGAAAUGCGUUGAUAUCCGGCGGAACUCCGGUGGCGAAAGCGGCGCGCUGGGCCCCCUCUGACGCUGAGGCGCGAAAGCCAGGGGAGCGAACAGG